This 218-nucleotide unclassified non-coding RNA is filed under the name Glomeraceae sp. Its description in RNAcentral is "partial contains 5.8S ribosomal RNA and internal transcribed spacer 2". The stretch from base 1 to 71 matches the Rfam family "5.8S ribosomal RNA", at positions 84 to 154 of the family's 154-position model. Lineage: Eukaryota; Fungi; Glomeromycota; Glomeromycetes; Glomerales; Glomeraceae. The record is from RNAcentral.
GUGAAUCAUCAAAUUUUUGAACGCAAAUUGCACUCCCUGGUAUUCCGGGGAGUAUGCCUGUUUGAGGGUCGUUAGAAAACAAAUCGACGCUGCGCUCUUUUUUUUUAAGGGUGAUCGCGUCGGACUUGAGCAGUCUUUCUAAUGUAAAUUCAUGUCAAAGUAGCUUGAAGUUCAUCCAUCCGGUACGAUUAAAGCGUAUUUCAGAUCGACUUUGAUUA